GGCCUGGCUGCUAGGUCAGUGCACAGCUCUACUCCUGACGGCUUUUCCUGCUCUCACAUCAUGAACUCAUCUGGGUCCUCUUUCAGGAGUUUAAAGAUGCCCGUCUCGGCUGCGGAGGUGUCUUCCUCAUAGUUUGCAGGGUCAGAAAGUGUCUCGGUGUCUUCAGCUGCCGACGCAGGGACCCUGAAGUCGUAUCUGGAUUCAGCAGCCGUCAGCAGGAUGGGAUUGGUGUCUGCUCCCUUUAUUCUGUGUCUCUGCAUCCAAACACCAACUUCGUCGGUGGCCUCUUCAUCACUGAGAGUCUCUUCCAGGUUACCU
This 318-nucleotide long non-coding RNA is filed under the name Cavia porcellus (domestic guinea pig). Its description in RNAcentral is "lncRNA (ENSCPOG00000039934.1)". The record is from RNAcentral. Lineage: Eukaryota; Metazoa; Chordata; Mammalia; Rodentia; Caviidae.